This 471-nucleotide ribosomal RNA is filed under the name Listeria monocytogenes. RNAcentral's name for it is "bacterial LSU rRNA". It matches the Rfam family "Bacterial large subunit ribosomal RNA", at positions 2460 to 2925 of the family's 2925-position model. The record is from RNAcentral. Lineage: Bacteria; Bacillati; Bacillota; Bacilli; Caryophanales; Listeriaceae.
AAGCUACCCCGGGGAUAACAGGCUUAUCUCCCCCAAGAGUUCACAUCGACGGGGAGGUUUGGCACCUCGAUGUCGGCUCAUCGCAUCCUGGGGCUGUAGUCGGUCCCAAGGGUUGGGCUGUUCGCCCAUUAAAGCGGUACGCGAGCUGGGUUCAGAACGUCGUGAGACAGUUCGGUCCCUAUCCGUCGUGGGCGUAGGAAAUUUGAGAGGAGCUGUCCUUAGUACGAGAGGACCGGGAUGGACAUACCUCUGGUGUACCAGUUGUCGUGCCAACGGCAUAGCUGGGUAGCUAUGUAUGGACGGGAUAAGUGCUGAAAGCAUCUAAGCAUGAAGCCCCCCUCAAGAUGAGAUUUCCCAACUUCGGUUAUAAGAUCCCUCGAAGAUGACGAGGUUAAUAGGUUCGAGGUGGAAGCGUGGUGACACGUGGAGCUGACGAAUACUAAUCGAUCGAAGACUUAAUCAAUUUUUAAA